This 264-nucleotide unclassified non-coding RNA is filed under the name Hevea brasiliensis (rubber tree). Lineage: Eukaryota; Viridiplantae; Streptophyta; Magnoliopsida; Malpighiales; Euphorbiaceae. The record is from RNAcentral.
GGAGAUUUGCCGGCUGCCAAAUCAACCGGCUGUUAUUCAUCUCCGGCAGGGUCAAACUGCCGGAAUAUAUUCUAUUAAAACGCCACAGUUUUCAUCCAAUAUUAAAUGCAGUGUAGGUGAAGAAUCCAGCACUAAAAAUCCGGAUUUGAAAAAUCGAAUGUUCAUUCUGGGGAUGGGUUUCGUAGGAAAAUUCUUGGCUGCAGAUUUGAAAAGCAAUGGAUGGGAAGUUACAGGAACUUGUACCAGUACUGCACGGAAGAAGAA